This 69-nucleotide transfer RNA is filed under the name Tupaia tana (large tree shrew). RNAcentral describes it as "tRNA-His". It matches the Rfam family "tRNA". Rfam says of the family: Transfer RNA (tRNA) molecules are approximately 80 nucleotides in length. Their secondary structure includes four short double-helical elements and three loops (D, anti-codon, and T loops). Further hydrogen bonds mediate the characteristic L-shaped molecular structure. tRNAs have two regions of fundamental functional importance: the anti-codon, which is responsible for specific mRNA codon recognition, and the 3' end, to which the tRNAs corresponding amino acid is attached (by aminoacyl-tRNA synthetases). tRNAs cope with the degeneracy of the genetic code in two manners: having more than one tRNA (with a specific anti-codon) for a particular amino acid; and 'wobble' base-pairing, i.e. permitting non-standard base-pairing at the 3rd anti-codon position. The record is from RNAcentral. Lineage: Eukaryota; Metazoa; Chordata; Mammalia; Scandentia; Tupaiidae.
GUCAAUAUAGUUUAAGAAAAACACUAGAUUGUGAAUCUAUCGAUAGGAGUUCAACCCUCCUUAUUUACC